AUGAAUUCCGCCUCCAGCCUCACCACGCUCCGGCUGCUUCACCUCAUUGCCUUCCAUUCCUUCUCUCUGCUUUUUCUCCACCAUCUUCUCUCUCCUUUGGGCCCUAUUCUUCCUCCAUUCCUUCUCUCUGCUUUCUUUCCACAUCUUCUCUCUCCUUUGGGCCCCUAUUCUUGGCAUAUUCACCAAAAUGCCUCUUUUCUUCCCCAAUUUAAAGCUUCCAUCCGGGCUGUAACCAAUCCUCGCUCGUCCGCCUCUUCUAUUGGCUGCUUUUCUAUCUUCCUCUCUUCUCUCCUUCCUCUCAUCCUGAUUUCCCUCUUCUAUUUUCUCUAUUGCCUUCUUUCAUUUCUCUUAUUUUCUACCUUCUCUCUUUUUUUUUCCUAUUUCCUCUUCUAUUUUUUCUGCUUUUCUUCUAUUUUCUCCUCUCUUCUAAUUUUCUUCUAUUUUUCCUAUUUUCUCUUCUAUUUUUUCUGCUUCUCUUCCAUUUUUUCCCCCCCUCCCCCCAUUUUAAACACCUCCGUCCUUUUUCUGACGCCAUUUUCCAGCGUUUUCGCUGUUGUUUUUGCUCCUUUUAUUCCCAUAUUAUUCCCCCUCCCCCGUUUUUAUCCCCACUGCAUUUUGCCAACCCCCCCCCAACAACAAAAAAGGCCCCAAAUCUUUGGGAUGGGGGUUAAAAAUCCAACCCCUUUCCUUUUUAAACAAAGGAAAACACCCCAAAAUUGACCUUUUUUUUCCCCCACUCAUUUCACUCGGUGAGUUGGAAAACGCUGAAAACUCUUUAUUUUCCCCCAUUUAAUUCCCUCUUUUCCCAGCAGUUUCCCAUCCCCGUUCUUACCCCACCAUCCCAUCCGCCCCUUCUCACUCAAUUUGGCCCAAAAAGCACCAAAAUAUCCCUAUUUCAGCCCAUUCUGCAGCAGUGCUGAGUCACGCUGCAGCCACGCUCGGCCCUUUAAAUGGGAAACCGAACCCCAUUUUAAUGCAUUUUAGGGGCAUUUCCGCUCCAGGUAACAACACCCUAAGAUUAAAGACACCCCAAAAACACACCAGACCUCUCAUUAGUCCUCAAUUAACGUUAAUUAAUGCUCUGACGACACGGGCGGCACCGGGGACCUUUUCCAUAUCGGAUUUCAAGGCGUUUCCUGUAAAACCAGAGAGAAAAACGCUGUUGUUAAUCGGUUUCUAUUGUUCUGAUGGAGCAUUUUGUGAUUAAAAACCCCAUUUCUUCCCCAUUUUUAUUGGUCCUUCCAUCACCCCAAAGCCCCAGAGUGGGAUCAGCCCCAUGGGUGCAAUGUGAUUUGCACAUUCCUGCUCAUACACACCCUAAAAACCCCAAUUAAAAAGCAAAAAUAGCCUAUUAUCCCAUAUUUAACAUUACUAUUAAAGUCUCGUUGGGACAACUCAUGUUUUUUAGCACAAAAACAGCCCCAAAAAGACACGUUUUUACUUCAGAAAUGACCCCCUGGGAGUCACCUGAAGGGCCUUUUACACUCAGAAAGACUCUGAAGAAAAAAAACAUCGUAUUUUCAUACAAAAACAUCAUUUGUUUUACUAUUAAACGUCAUUUUUGCUUCACUGAACCAAAGGGCUGAGAAUUCCCUGAAAUUUGAGGAGUUUUUUGGCUCUUUUUUGGGGUUAUUUCGAUGGUUUUUGGGUCUUUGAUUCAUCACCCUCCCCCCCCCCCCCCCCCCCCCCCCCCCCCCCCCCCCCCUCCCCCUCCCCCUCC
Molecule: long non-coding RNA, 1720 nt
Organism: Coturnix japonica (Japanese quail)
Lineage: Eukaryota; Metazoa; Chordata; Aves; Galliformes; Phasianidae
Source: Ensembl